GACGAACGCUGGCGGCGUGCCUAAUACAUGCAAGUCGAGCGGACUUGAAGGAGUGCUUGCACUCCUGAGAGUUAGCGGCGGACGGGUGAGUAACACGUAGGCAACCUGCCCUCAAGACUGGGAUAACUACCGGAAACGGUAGCUAAUACCGGAUAAUUUAUUACAUAGCAUUAUGUGAUAAUGAAAGACGGAGCAAUCUGUCACUUGGGGAUGGGCCUGCGGCGCAUUAGCUAGUUGGUGGGGUAACGGCCCACCAAGGCGACGAUGCGUAGCCGACCUGAGAGGGUGAACGGCCACACUGGGACUGAGACACGGCCCAGACUCCUACGGGAGGCAGCAGUAGGGAAUCUUCCGCAAUGGGCGAAAGCCUGACGGAGCAACGCCGCGUGAGUGAUGAAGGUGUUCGGAUCGUAAAGCUCUGUUGCCAAGGAAGAACGUCUCAUAGAGUAACUGCUAUGAGAGUGACGGUACUUGAGAAGAAAGCCCCGGCUAACUACGUG
This 500-nucleotide ribosomal RNA is filed under the name uncultured bacterium. Its description in RNAcentral is "partial 16S ribosomal RNA". It matches the Rfam family "Bacterial small subunit ribosomal RNA", at positions 28 to 507 of the family's 1533-position model. The record is from RNAcentral.